ACGCCAGUUCCGGUGGAGCCAACCUUGAAUACCACCCUGACAGUUUUGGGGUUCUAACCCAGGCCCGUGAUCCGGGUCGGGGACAGUGUAUGGUGGGUAGUUUGACUGGGGCGGUCUCCUCCCAAAGAGUAACGGAGGAGCACGAAGGUACCCUCAGCGUGGUCGGAAAUCACGCUCUUGAGUGCAAAGGCAUAAGGGUGCUUGACUGCGAGAUCGACGGAUCGAGCAGGUGCGAAAGCAGGUCUUAGUGAUCCGGUGGUUCUGCAUGGAAGGGCCAUCGCUCAACGGAUAAAAGGUACUCCGGGGAUAACAGGCUGAUACCGCCCAAGAGUUCAUAUCGACGGCGGUGUUUGGCACCUCGAUGUCGGCUCAUCACAUCCUGGGGGCUGAAGCCGGUCCCCAAGGGUAUGGCUGUUCGCCAUUUUAAAG
This 429-nucleotide ribosomal RNA is filed under the name uncultured bacterium. RNAcentral's name for it is "bacterial LSU rRNA". It matches the Rfam family "Bacterial large subunit ribosomal RNA", at positions 2168 to 2593 of the family's 2925-position model. The record is from RNAcentral.